CACGCCGUAAACGAUGAGAACUAGCUGUCGGGGCUCUUGGAGCUUCGGUGGCGCAGCUAACGCAUUAAGUUCUCCGCCUGGGGAGUACGGCCGCAAGGUUAAAACUCAAAGGAAUUGACGGGGGCCUGCACAAGCGGUGGAGCAUGUGGUUUAAUUCGAAGCAACGCGCAGAACCUUACCAGCGUUUGACAUCGCAGGACGGUUUCCAGAGAUGGAUUCCUUCUCGCAAGAGACUUGCAGACAGGUGC
Molecule: ribosomal RNA, 248 nt
Filed under: uncultured Sandarakinorhabdus sp.
Lineage: Bacteria; Pseudomonadati; Pseudomonadota; Alphaproteobacteria; Sphingomonadales; Sphingosinicellaceae
Description: partial 16S ribosomal RNA
Rfam family: Bacterial small subunit ribosomal RNA
Source: RNAcentral